GAUCUGAUAGCAUAAUUGGGUAGUGCACCUGCUGGAAAUAUUUGUUAAUUCUGCAUAAAGCAGGAGAUCUCCGUUCGAUCCGGGGUCAGGUCA
Molecule: non-coding RNA, 93 nt
Organism: Mycena vulgaris
Lineage: Eukaryota; Fungi; Basidiomycota; Agaricomycetes; Agaricales; Mycenaceae
Source: the annotation of a GenBank genome assembly